RNAcentral lists this ribosomal RNA (360 nucleotides) under uncultured bacterium. RNAcentral's name for it is "bacterial SSU rRNA". It matches the Rfam family "Bacterial small subunit ribosomal RNA", at positions 36 to 373 of the family's 1533-position model. The record is from RNAcentral.
AACAAACCUGGCGGCGUGGAUAAGACAUGCAAGUCGAACGGGAACUUUCGCUGUAGCAAUACAGUGAAAGUUUUAGUGGCGAACGGGUGCGUAACACGUGGGCAAUCUGCCUUGAAGUGGGGGAUAGCUCGGCGAAAGCCGAAUUAAUACCGCAUGUNGUCAGUGAAGACAUCUUCACGACACUGAAGCCGGGGCAACCUGGCGCUUCUUGAUGAGCCCGCGGCCUAUCAGCUAGUUGGUGAGGUAAAGGCUCACCAAGGCUAUGACGGGUAGCUGGUCUGAGAGGACGACCAGCCACACUGGAACUGAGACACGGUCCAGACACCUACGGGUGGCAGCAGUCGAAAAUUUUUCUCAAUG